Molecule: ribosomal RNA, 273 nt
Filed under: uncultured bacterium
Lineage: Bacteria
Description: partial 16S ribosomal RNA
Rfam family: Bacterial small subunit ribosomal RNA
Source: RNAcentral
UACGUAGGGCGCAAGCGUUGUCCGGAAUUAUUGGGCGUAAAGAGCUCGUAGGCGGCUUGUCACGUCGGUUGUGAAAGCCCGGGGCUUAACCCCGGGUCUGCAGUCGAUACGGGCAGGCUAGAGUUCGGUAGGGGAGAUCGGAAUUCCUGGUGUAGCGGUGAAAUGCGCAGAUAUCAGGAGGAACACCGGUGGCGAAGGCGGAUCUCUGGGCCGAUACUGACGCUGAGGAGCGAAAGCGUGGGGAGCGAACAGGAUUAGAUACCCGGGUAGUCC